Molecule: ribosomal RNA, 186 nt
Filed under: uncultured bacterium
Lineage: Bacteria
Description: partial 16S ribosomal RNA
Rfam family: Bacterial small subunit ribosomal RNA
Source: RNAcentral
ACUACAUGAAGCUGGAAUCGCUAGUAAUCGCGAAUCAGAAUGUCGCGGUGAAUACGUUCCCGGGUCUUGUACACACCGCCCGUCACACCAUGGGAGUUGGUAACGCCCGAAGUCAGUGACCCAACCUUAGGGAGGGAGCUGCCGAAGGCGGGACUGAUAACUGGGGUGAAGUCGUAACAAGGUAUC